RNAcentral lists this ribosomal RNA (281 nucleotides) under uncultured bacterium. Its description in RNAcentral is "partial 16S ribosomal RNA". It matches the Rfam family "Bacterial small subunit ribosomal RNA", at positions 335 to 600 of the family's 1533-position model. The record is from RNAcentral.
ACUCCUACGGGAGGCAGCAGUGGGGAAUAUUGCACAAUGGGAAAGGCCAUCGAUGCAGCCAUGCCGCGCUGUGUGAAGAAGGCCAAUUCGGGCUUGGUUAAAGACACUUUCAGUAGGGAGGAAGGUAGUGUAGUUAACACCUGCAUUAUUUGACGUUACCUACAGAAGAAGCACCGGCUAACUCCGUGCCAGCAGCCGCGGUAAUACGGAGGGUGCGAGCGUUAAUCGGAAUUACUGGGCGUAAAGCGCAUGCAGGUGGUUUGUUAAGUCAGAUGUGAAAG